AUCACUCCUACGGGAGGCAGCAGUGGGGAAUAUUGCGCAAUGGGCGAAAGCCUGACGCAGCAACGCCGCGUGUGUGAUGAAGGCCUUCGGGUCGUAAAGCACUGUCAGAAGGGAAGAUUAGGACGGUACCUUCAAAGGAAGCACCGGCUAACUCCGUGCCAGCAGCCGCGGUAAUACGGAGGGUGCGAGCGUUAAUCGGAAUUACUGGGCGUAAAGCGCAUGCAGGUGGUUUGUUAAGUCAGAUGUGAAAGCCCGGGGCUCAACCUCGGAAUUGCAUUUGAAACUAGCAAACUAGAGUACUGUAGAGGGGGUAGAAUUUCAGGUGUAGCGGUGAAAUGCGUAGAGAUCUGAAGGAAUACCGGUGGCGAAGGCGGCCCCCUGGACAGAUACUGACACUCAGAUGCGAAAGCGUGGGGAGCAAACAGGAUUAGAUACCCUGGUAG
Molecule: ribosomal RNA, 443 nt
Filed under: uncultured bacterium
Lineage: Bacteria
Description: bacterial SSU rRNA
Rfam family: Bacterial small subunit ribosomal RNA
Source: RNAcentral